UGGGAUGACAGGCGUGGGCCACUGCGCCCCUGAUUUGGGUUUUGGAAGAACGGUGAAGCUCACGGCAUGCCAAGUGCAUUCUGUGCCAAGAUCCUGGACAGUGUUUUAGGGCUGGGAAAGGCAAGGGAGUGUCCAGGACCCUCCCUGGCUGGUUUGGAAUUUGAGGCUGGGGGGUGGAGGCUGACCAUCCCCUUGUUAGGAGGUCUCCCCUCCUACAUAGAAGAAAAUGGAUGUUUCUCCCCUGGAGAAAAGCCAGGACCAGAGGGCUCUUCACGGAAGGGGUAGCAGACAGACUAUGGCACUGAGGUUCCCUCCCAGCCUCCCAUGGGACCCCAGGCACUGACCCGCAGAAGUGACACUUCUGGGCAGAGCCAGCACUGUGACCUCUCAGAGACUCGCGCUAAUAGAUCACCUUGUCAAAUCAGGAGCCGGCGUUCCACGGGGAACCAGGGGUCUCCUCUGAUUAACCAGGAUAAAUGAGAUUUCUCUUCGCCCUGGA
Molecule: long non-coding RNA, 499 nt
Filed under: Marmota monax (woodchuck)
Lineage: Eukaryota; Metazoa; Chordata; Mammalia; Rodentia; Sciuridae
Source: RNAcentral